RNAcentral lists this ribosomal RNA (252 nucleotides) under uncultured bacterium. RNAcentral describes it as "partial 16S ribosomal RNA". It matches the Rfam family "Bacterial small subunit ribosomal RNA", at positions 524 to 776 of the family's 1533-position model. The record is from RNAcentral.
UACGGAGGAUGCGAGCGUUAUCCGGAUUUAUUGGGUUUAAAGGGUGCGUAGGCGGGCUUUUAAGUCAGCGGUAAAAAUUCGGGGCUCAACCCCGUCCGGCCGUUGAAACUGGGGGUCUUGAGUGGGCGAGAAGAAGGCGGAAUGCGAGGUGUAGCGGUGAAAUGCAUAGAUAUCACGCAGGACCCCGAUUGCGAAGGCAGCCUUCCGGCGCCCUACUGACGCUGAGGCACGAAAGUGCGGGGAUCGAACAGG